AUUGCACUUGAAGCAUUUCACUUCUUUCUUAUCCUUCCGAGACUUUGACCAUCCCCUCAACUUACUUCUGUCCCAUCCUCUUUCUGAUCUCUCUUCUACGGCUAGGUCUUCUUGGGGAACACCUUCCUUGGUCAAGCUCUCCCUCUACUCAUUGGAUUGAAGCACCAAGAUAGUGUCCUCAUAAUACAAAGUCUCCUUCCUAUAGAGCAGUGUCAUCACC
RNAcentral lists this long non-coding RNA (220 nucleotides) under Elaeis guineensis (African oil palm). RNAcentral describes it as "long non-coding RNA (EGUI_LNC022947)". The record is from RNAcentral. Lineage: Eukaryota; Viridiplantae; Streptophyta; Magnoliopsida; Arecales; Arecaceae.